RNAcentral lists this ribosomal RNA (1097 nucleotides) under Escherichia coli. RNAcentral describes it as "bacterial SSU rRNA". It matches the Rfam family "Bacterial small subunit ribosomal RNA", at positions 61 to 1364 of the family's 1533-position model. Lineage: Bacteria; Pseudomonadati; Pseudomonadota; Gammaproteobacteria; Enterobacterales; Enterobacteriaceae. The record is from RNAcentral.
AUUAUCCUGCGUUAACCGGGGGAGCGCAGCUAGGUGGGCGAAGUACUGGCACAAUGAGGCGGGGCAAGCCUGAUGCAGUCCAUUAGACCGCUGUGUAUGAAAGAAACGGUCCUUCCGGGGUUUGUAAAGUACUUUUCAGUCGGGGGAGGAUAGGGGAGUAAAAGUUAAUACCUUUGCUUCAUUGACGUUACCCCGCAGAAGAAGCACCGGCUAACUCCGUGCCAGCAGCCGCGGUAAUACCGGAGGGUGCAAGCGUUAAUCGGAAUUACUGGGCGUAAAGCGCACGCAGGCGGUUUGUUAAGUCAGAUGUGAAAUCCCCGGGCUCAACCUGGGAACUGCAUCUGAUACUGGCAAGCUUGAGUCUCGUAGAGGGGGGUAGAAUUCCAGGUGUAGCGGUGAAAUGCGUAGAGAUCUGGAGGAAUACCGGUGGCGAAGGCGGCCCCCUGGACGAAGACUGACGCUCAGGUGCGAAAGCGUGGGGAGCAAACAGGAUUAGAUACCCUGGUAGUCCACGCCGUAAACGAUGUCGACUUGGAGGUUGUGCCCUUGAGGCGUGGCUUCCGGAGCUAACGCGUUAAGUCGACCGCCUGGGGAGUACGGCCGCAAGGUUAAAACUCAAAUGAAUUGACGGGGGCCCGCACAAGCGGUGGAGCAUGUGGUUUAAUUCGAUGCAACGCGAAGAACCUUACCUGGUCUUGACAUCCACGGAAGUUUUCAGAGAUGAGAAUGUGCCUUCGGGAACCGUGAGACAGGUGCUGCAUGGCUGUCGUCAGCUCGUGUUGUGAAAUGUUGGGUUAAGUCCCGCAACGAGCGCAACCCUUAUCCUUUGUUGCCAGCGGUCCGGCCGGGAACUCAAAGGAGACUGCCAGUGAUAAACUGUGAGGAAGGUGGGGGAUGACGUCAAGUCAUCAUGGCCCUUACGACCAGGGCUACACACGUGCUACAAUGGCGCAUACUAAAGAGAAGCGACCCUCGCGUAGAGCAAGCUGGACCUCAUAAAAGUUGCGUUCGUUAGUUCCGGGAUUGCAGUUCUUGCAGACUUCGAACUCCAUGAACGUGCGGAAUCGCUAGUAAUCGUGGAUCAGAAUGUCAUCGUC